GGCGGCAGCUCCGCCGCCGCCCGCGUAUGACGACGUCGCCGCCAGCGACGCUGUAUCUUGGAGCAUGGAUACGUAGGUGGCUCGAUUAGCGUGCAGCGCAUCAAGAUGCGGUUGCAGACCCGGAAGCAGCUCCACCGUCCGCUGCCACAGCGGGAUGACCUCGAGCUGACGUCAUCGUACAGCGGUGCCGUACAGCGUCACCGUAGGGUACGGUGGUUGGUAGAGCAGAGGCCGGUUGUGGGUAUUGCGGUGAUGCGGUUCAUACCCCGGGUCAGGACAGCCCCCCGUGUACGGCAGGCCAGGUAGGCAGGUAGGUAGGUAGGGCACUAGGGCAUUUGUUGCGACUAAUCCACUCCCCACCCCAUCCCGCCCCACCCCAUCCCACCUGCAUUCGCGGCACCUCCAGCAGCAACAGGUUCUGCACGUCCUCGACAGAGGUGUCCGGGGGACCCUGCGCGGGCGGAGGGGGAGGGUGGGAAAGCCACUGACUCCAGAGAACAACCCCCCAACAACAACGGCACCAUCAAAGGGCCCCUUGAGCUCGAAACAUGCUGUCAUUCAGUAGGCCGUAAUGAGAUAAAGAUAAGAGAGCGAGGGGGAGAGAGCGAGGGGGAGAGAGCGAGGGGGAGAGACAGGAACAAUCCUCACCCUAAAGCUGCCUAGUGCCUAGUUUUCUCUCUGAGGUGACCAGCAGAGGAGACCAGCAGCAGCACAGGCGCACCGAGCCCAGGUGAGAGCGAGGGAGUGAGGACGUCAACGUCCUCAUUUCCCCCCCUCCCCCCUCCCCCUAUCUCCCACACACACUAAACCCCCAGAGCCCCACCAGUAGAGACACACUGCGAUGUCGUACAGACGCGCUG
RNAcentral lists this long non-coding RNA (860 nucleotides) under Volvox carteri. RNAcentral's name for it is "long non-coding RNA (VCAR_LNC000011)". Lineage: Eukaryota; Viridiplantae; Chlorophyta; Chlorophyceae; Chlamydomonadales; Volvocaceae. The record is from RNAcentral.